Molecule: ribosomal RNA, 451 nt
Filed under: uncultured bacterium
Lineage: Bacteria
Description: SSU rRNA
Rfam family: Bacterial small subunit ribosomal RNA
Source: RNAcentral
AGGAUGAACGCUGGCGGCGUGCCUAAAACAUGCAAGUCAUACGGGCUACCUUCGGGUAGCCAGUGGCAAACGGGUGAGUAACACGUGGGAACACGCCUUCGAGUGGGGAAUAACGCUGAGAAAUCAGUGCUAAUACCGCAUAUGGUCUAACGACUAAAGCAGCAAUGCGCUCGGAGAGUGGCCCGCGACCGAUUAGCUAGUUGGUGGGGUAAUGGCCUACCAAGGCGGUGAUCGGUAGCUGGUCUGAGAGGAUGGUCAGCCACACUGGGACUGCGAACGGCCCAGACUCCUACGGGAGGCAGCAGUUAGGAAUUUUCGGCAAUGGACGAAAGUCUGACCGAGCGACGCCGCGUGGAGGAUGAAGCCUUUCGGGGUGUAAACUCCUUUUCUGCGGGAAGAUAAUGACGGUACCGCAGGAAUAAGCACCGGCUAACUACGUGCCAGCAGCCGC